Molecule: ribosomal RNA, 253 nt
Filed under: uncultured bacterium
Lineage: Bacteria
Description: partial 16S ribosomal RNA
Rfam family: Bacterial small subunit ribosomal RNA
Source: RNAcentral
UACGUAGGGUGCAAGCGUUGUCCGGAAUUAUUGGGCGUAAAGAGCUCGUAGGCGGUCUGUCGCGUCUGCUGUGAAAACUCAGGGCUUAACCCUGAGCUUGCAGUGGGUACGGGCAGACUAGAGUGCGGUAGGGGAGACUGGAAUUCCUGGUGUAGCGGUGAAAUGCGCAGAUAUCAGGAGGAACACCGGUGGCGAAGGCGGCUUUCUGGACAGAAACUGACGCUGAGGCGCGAAAGCUAGGGGAGCAAACAGG